CAGCAGCCGCGGUAAUACGAAGGGUGCAAGCGUUAAUCGGAAUUACUGGGCGUAAAGCGUGCGUAGGCGGCUUUGCAAGACAGAUGUGAAAUCCCCGGGCUCAACCUGGGAACUGCAUUUGUGACUGCAAGGCUAGAGUGCGGCAGAGGGAGAUGGAAUUCCGCGUGUAGCAGUGAAAUGCGUAGAUAUGCGGAGGAACACCGAUGGCGAAGGCAAUCUCCUGGGCCUGCACUGACGCUCAUGCACGAAAGCGUGGGGAGCAAACAGGAUUAGAUACCCCUGUAGUCCCUGUCUCUUAUAC
This 301-nucleotide ribosomal RNA is filed under the name uncultured bacterium. Its description in RNAcentral is "partial 16S ribosomal RNA". It matches the Rfam family "Bacterial small subunit ribosomal RNA", at positions 509 to 807 of the family's 1533-position model. The record is from RNAcentral.